GAUGAAGAACGCAGCGAAAUGCGAUAAGUAAUGUGAAUUGCAGAAUUCAGUGAAUCAUCGAAUCUUUGAACGCACAUUGCGCCCCUUGGUAUUCCGAGGGGCAUGCCUGUUCGAGCGUCAUAUUAACCACUCCCGCUUGCGGGGUCUUGGGCUUCGCCUCCGGGCGGGCCUUAAAAUCAGUGGCGGUGCCGUCGGGCUCUACGCGUAGUAAAUUUUCUCGCGAUAGGGUCCCGGUGGAUGCUUGCCAACAACCCCCAACUUCUUAAGGUUGACCUCGGAUCAGGUAGGGGUACCCGCUGAACUUAAGCAUAUCAAUAAGCGGAGGA
This 326-nucleotide unclassified non-coding RNA is filed under the name soil metagenome. RNAcentral describes it as "partial contains 5.8S ribosomal RNA, internal transcribed spacer 2, and large subunit ribosomal RNA". The stretch from base 1 to 120 matches the Rfam family "5.8S ribosomal RNA", at positions 35 to 154 of the family's 154-position model. The record is from RNAcentral.